GGCUGCAUUGCAGUGAUGAAACAAAGGCCUGAACUGUCUUAUACAGAAAGAAUCAGAUCCUAUAAAGACAAAAAAUGGCUAAAGCAGGGCUGGGAUGGACUUCAUGUGCCAGUUCAGAAACCUCAUGUCAAUCAUGAGACAAAAGUCCAUCUGAGUUGCUCUCUGCUGCCUGACACGCAAUAUGAUGCCCUGGACUGACCUGCCCCAUUACAAAAGGCUCAUCCAGCUCCAUCCAGCACCUUGGUGGGAUGCAGGCUUUAAGCAGAACAGGUCUCAAGGGGCCCUAAUCUGUGACGUGUGAUGAGAAAACUUACUGAGUACAUGGAUAGAAUCAGCUGCUUGCUCUCCUGCCCUCCACCCCAACAUAUCUGUAGUAUUCUGAAAAUGCAGGUGGGUGAGAAGCCCUUGUUUGAUACAGGGGCCAGAAGAGUGAGCCAGGAAGUGGGGAGCACUGCUUCACUUCCCUUCUCAGCAGAAGACGCAAACCUGCAGCAUCAGAGAGUGUGUAACAAUCCAGCUGCGUGCCUGGGAGAGGGCAGGAAAGAAAAGAGCAGGGCUGAAACAGCUAUCCUGAAGAUGCGGGAGAGGGGGGGGCCUCUGGGCUAGUGCUGAUAUGUCAGUAAUCUGCUUCUGCUUUCAGGUUUGUUUCAGCAAACACCGAGCGAGGAGGCAGCUCAGCCACCGGCCCUGCACCCAGCGCUGACAGGAACACUGCGGCAAGUGACGUCAGGGCAGCUGCGUGUCCUCAUCUGCAGGGCACGGCCUGCUGACGUGCGGCCCUCCUGUGCCAUCAGUCACGCGUGCUACAUUCCGACAGAAGAGGGCCUCCCAGCUUCACCUUCAGCGAGGCGGGUCCUGAGGUGUGGGGGUAGGAGCGCCAACGUGUUCUGAUCGAGUAAAGCGGGUCUGGCUGAUGAGAUACGUAAAGAAAAGAAGAAACUCUGAGGCUGCUCUUGAGUUCAGAUUCAGCUGUACAGCCUAGCUGAAGCCCAGCACGAGAUAGAAGCAGUGUGAGGACAUGCCAUGCAUUAGCCUUCCCCCAGCAAUGUGAGGAGACACCUUGCAAUACUUUGCAACAGGGUAUUGUGGAACCUACACGAGUUCAUCCUGGCAGUGACAGAAUCACCACAGAGUUGAGAAUGUUGUGACACUGACUUGAAUGACCAUCCGAAGGGAAAUUCAUAUGUCCUAAUACAACAGUGCCAGAGAAGGAUUUUUAACAUAUAUGUGCUGAUAUUCAAGACCUGCCCAGAUGCUUCCCUGUGCAACCUACUGUAGGGAACUUGCUUUAGGAGGGGGUUGGAAUCAAGUAUUCCAGAGAUCCCUUCUAACACCUAUGAUUCUGUGAUUCUAUGAUACACUUAUUUUCUCUACAGUUUGGAAUAAAAU
This 1389-nucleotide long non-coding RNA is filed under the name Gallus gallus (chicken). RNAcentral's name for it is "long non-coding RNA NONGGAT003847". Lineage: Eukaryota; Metazoa; Chordata; Aves; Galliformes; Phasianidae. The record is from RNAcentral.